GUGGUUGCCCCCCUUCACCCCUAUCUAGCUUCACCACCGAUGCUAGCUAGGGAGACUAAAUUUCUAAAUAAAAUUCUGUAAACUAAAUGACAUGUAAGUUGAUGAUUGCAUUAUUACUUAAGUAUUGAUAAACGUUCUCAUUCAUAUUGGUGACACAUCAUUUAGUUUCCAAAAUUUUAUAUAGAAAUUUAAUCUCCCUAGCAUUACCCAUAAGAAAUAAGCAUGCUCAUCAUAACUUAAAUAACAAUCUCAUUAUCAUCUUUCACGCCAUUUAGUUUAAAAAAAAUUAAUCUACACAUUUAUUCUCUCUUGCAUUACUUUUUGGCUAAAUUAAGUCUUUUCUUCAACCGAAUUGAAGCACGUCUUUUUAUAAAAUGGUAAUGCUAGUAAAACUAAAUUGGGUAAAUUACAUAAUAGCCCCUCAGGUUUGUGGUCUAUUACAACCCCGUACAACAUCUUUAAAACAUUUUACUUUCAUACCUCAUGUACUAUUUUAUUUCAAAAUAAUACAUCCGUUAUAUUUUCUAUCCAUUGAUCCGUUAAGUGCUGACGUGGCUGCCACAUUUAUGCCAUGUGGCUGCCAAAUGUGCGCCAUGUGGCAAAAAAAAUAAUUUUUUAAUUUAAAAAAAAAACCUGAAUCUUCUAAAUUUAAAAAAAAAAAAAAAAAAAAACCAAAAGCUGAACCCACAACCCCCACCCCCCACCCCCCACCCACCUAACCUGCAACCCAAAAGAAGAAGAGGAGGAGAGGAAAAAAAAAAAAAACAAACAAACAAACCCAUCUUCAUCUUCCCCGACCCCUCAUUCCUUGCAACCCACCCUUUCUUCCCCCUCCCGUCUUCCCCAAACCCACCGUGCACCCAUCCUCCACCUCCUCCUCCGCACCCACUACCUGCAACCAGAAAAGAAAAGAAAAGAAAAAAAAAACCCAUAUCCCUUUCCCUGCAACCCAAAUCCCAUUCUCCCCAAUGAAUCUGGAUUUAAGGAGUGAGGUGUGUAGAGGAUGGAAAAGGAUGCAUGCGAGGGUGGGUGCGCUGAGUUUUUUUUUUUCUUUUCUUUUCGGGUUGCAGGUUGGGGGAGGGGGGGAUCUGGGUUUUCUGGAAUAUUUUUUUUUUAAUUUAGAAGAUUUAGGUUUUUUUUUAAUUAAAAAAAAAAAUUGCCACGUGGCACACAUUUGGCAGCCAUGUGGCAUAAAUGUAGCAGCCAUGUUUGCACUUAACGGAUCAAUGGAUGGAAAAUGUAACAGAUGUAUUAUUUUGAAAUAAAAUAGUACGUAAGGUAUAAAAGUGAAAUGUUUUAAAGAUGUUGUAUGAGAUUAUGAUAGACCUUAAACCUUAGGGCCUACUAUAUAAUUUACCCAACUAAAUUUUUUGAAUUAAAUUUGUAAAUCAUAUGAUGUGGUUGUAGAUGAUUGGAUUAUUAAUUAAGUAUCAAUUUAUGUGCUUGUUUCUUAUCAGUGACACAUCACUUAAUUUGCAAAUAUGAUAUAAAAUUUUGAUCUCCAUAUAAUUAUCCUUUAUAAAAAAACAAACAUUGCAUCUUCCGUCCUCCUUCACCCACCACAUUGUUGAUUCGCUUAUUGCAAUUUUUUUUAGGGAGUUUUAACGAAAAGCCCACGGUACUGUUACCUUUAACGAAAAACCACAUUUUUACACUAAAAAGUCAAACCUGCUACUAUUCACUUUACCCUUUAUUUGUCCUUAUCAUUAAAACUCAAAGUUUUCAAGCCCUUUUCAUUAGUUUUCUUUUUUUUUUAUGAUUAUUAAUUUUAAAUCAAUCACAUAUAUAUGCUAUAUAUUUGCUGUCUUUAAUUUUUUAUUAAAAAUAUGAAGGCAUUGAAAAUGGUCCUUAUUGUAAGUACAAAUAAAACACUAACUGCAGCAUAUAUCUACACAAUGUGAAUGCAGGAAUUACAGCAGAGAAUUCAAAGAGUAACUGAUAAAUGGGGGCCAAAUGGAAGACAGCCUUCAAUGACUAUAUAUGAAGAGGAAAUGGGCAAAACUAGGAAGGACAUUGUUGAUUUCCACGGCGAGAUGGUGCUCUUGGUGAACUACAGCAACAUCAAUUACACAGGUAGUCCAUGGCUGAUGAAGCUAAUUAAUAAGCUCAUGCCAAUAUUAUACAGCAAUCCUUCAAGAACUUACAUUCCACCCUCCACUUCCCAUUCUUCUUUUUCCCCUCUGCUAGUAAAUUACUCUCUCUACUAAAUUUCUCUCUCUCUCUCUCUCUCUCUCAAGGGAAGGGAUCUCCAUUUUUCAAAAAAAAUGGGAACACUCUCUUGACCAUUAGAUUUGACUUUAAUGAAAUUCUGUGGCUGAGAUUAAAUCACAGGCUACAGAAUCUCAACCACAGGAUUUUAUUAAAGCCAAAUCUAACGGUAAAGAGGAUGUUCUCAUUUUUUUGAAAAGUUGGGAUCUCUUCCCAAAAGGCCAUUCGUAUGUGCGAGUGAGCGUAAUAUAUAUGUAAAACAUUUUUCCCACACCAAUAAGGCCGAGGGUCAUCUUCGUCUCAAGCGCAUGGAACAGGCCUUGCAAAUAAUUCAUGAUUCGACAUAUACUUGACAAUUUUUGGGUUUUGUAGGGCUGGCUAAGAUACUGAAGAAGUAUGACAAGAGAACAGGUGGCCUACUGAGAUUGCCAUUCAUUCAAAAGAUUUUGGAGCAGCCAUUUUUUACAACUGACAAUAUCUCAAAGCUGGUCAAGGCAUGUGAGAGUACCAUAGAUGCAGUGUUCCCAGUGGAGGAAGAAGAGAGAAAAAGAGAAGUGAAAGAAGCAGUAACGGUCGCCGGAGAAGGAAUAUUUAGGAACACAGUUGCAGCCCUACUCACCAUGCAAGAGAUUAGAAGAGCAGGCAGCUCUACUUAUAGCCAGUAUUCUCUUCCACCUCUCAACUUGGAUGCUGACAGCUCUGAUCUCACCCAGUUAUUCCAACUGAGCCCUCCCAUACCUAUUGUUUAGUUAUAGGAGCUAGAAUUAAUAAAUGAGCAGACAAAUUAAUUGGAGUUAUAUAUAGCACAAGAACUGGAACAUGUCGAAUUUAUGUUUUUAUUUUUAUUUUUAAUUCUAGGCAAUAUUUUUACUCUAAGCUAGACAGCAAAGAGGAGGACAAUUUGGACUUGAGGAUGAAGUUGCAUGAACAGGAAGACCAUAUCUACCAUCCCUUUAUUUUUUCCCUUCUCUCACUACCACUAGGAUAAAAAAAACACUUGCGGGGCCAAACUUUACAUGAUGCAUCAAAUUUCAUCGCACAAUGGACACUUCCGCAAUGAAACUAGGGUAUUAUAGCGCAAAGAUGGCUUGACCAUAAAAAAUUAUUGAAAACAAUUAUGCGAUGAAGGUUUUCGUCGGGCAAUACGCAUUUGCACUACGAAACUAAAUAUUCGUCGUGCAAAGUUUGAGAAAAGACGCAACAAGAUGGGGACUUGGCGCCAACAUCUCGCACGAAGACGCUUUUUUCUGCCAAAAUCUUGCGUGACAAAUGUAUCACUACAAGACAGCACCACAUUUAUCACAGUUAAUUCACCACGGACAUAAAAAACACGUUGUAGAAUAUCGAGUAUUACCACGGACAUUUAAAGUCGGUUAUGAGUAAAUGGUUUUAACAACGGGCAAAAUUGGCCCGUAAUAGAACAUGUUAGAAUAAUAACGCGCAAGUAAAGCUCGUUGCAUUUAUUUGAUAUAACCACGAGGGUAGCCCGUUGUUGAAAUAAAUUUAAUCACAGCGCCUUCUUGAAAUCAAUCACGGUAUAUGAAUGUUGUAGGUUAAUUUAUUUAAUAUUACUCUCAAAUUUGUUAUCAGAACCAACUCUAUCUUAAACCCAAUCUAUAUACCAAUUCCAGAUCUGAUACCACCAACCACCCAGUCUCACCCAUUCGCUUCCUUCGACGGUUUAUCUGAAAUCUCCAAACUACUCAUUUCUCUCUCCAAAGCCCCCGCCCCCCUCUUCUUCGAAAUCGCAACCAUCUUCUAUCCGGCGCCCACACAAGAACUCGUCACUGACGCAGAGCCCGCCAGAAGCUUUCUCUAGAGAACAACAUGUCGGUCGUCGUCCCCAUGGCCUCGCCCAGUCGCUGGCUCGACUUGGAUGACCAGCCAUUCCUCAAUUCCAGGAUUAGUAUGUCUCUCGAUUUCUUUGUAAAGAUAUUAAAAUUUAAUUCCGUUUAUUGAAAUGAUACCGUGAUUAUUCUGCAAUUAAAGUGUAAUUAUGAAUAAGUAUGUUUUUUACAAUUCAAUUUUGGCUAAAUGUGAUAAAGAUGAAAGCUUUACUUAGUUUUGGUUCAAUACGAUAAGGUGCAAGAGAAAGGGAUAUGUUGAUAACUAGGAGGCAAGCAUGCCUUCUCCAAGCAUGACCAAGCAUAGAACGAGCAGUGUGAAAAUUUUCGGGGUCGAAUUGUGCCCUGACAAUGUCGCUGUUGCCAUGGUAUUUUGUUCAAGGUGUCCUAGGCCUUGCAGGGCUUGCUGUCUGUUUUUAACUUUCCAUUUAAAAGACGAUUUGCAUCUCGACCUGGCUGAGGUACAUUUACAUUCACACUUUCUGUUAUUUUUUGGAACUGGUUUGCUUUACAUUUGUAGCUGUAGUUAUUAAAAGUGGCAUUCUUGAUGAAUUGUGAACUUAAAUUGACGUUGGUAUGCACUGAUUGGUAAAGAAUUUGCUUUGAGAAUGCUGAUUAGUAUGAAAAUGGUGCUAACCGGGGUACGAUAGUGGGAUUCUAGCUUUGAAUUACUGAUGUGAGACAUUGUUUUUCUUUGAUAAGUGAAUUGUUUGUAUAGUUUUGGUUUCUGACAAAUUUAUAUGUGAAGGAUCUCCCUCAAUUGGUCCCGCUCUCAUUUUCAAUUUUGAUGUCCUCGAAGACUCAACGAUGCUAUCUUUGAACCUAUUUUUGUUUGUUUUCCUAAUUUUUUGGCAUUUUGUAGGCGAACUGCUAUUAUAGUGACUAAUAGAAGUAGAAAGAAGGAACAAGGGGUUGAAAUUUGGCUAAUUCUGCCAAUAUAGAUGUUUUGCAAGUGGCUGGGUUUUGCUAGUUUAAAGGUCUAAUGCUUCUUUUUCUUUUACUAUUGCUUUUGUUAAUUCAGGGUUAUUAAACAUAUUACAAUUUGCAAGUUACUCUUGAAUUAUUAAGCUUUCAUUUAAAAAUAAAUAAACCAAGGAAGGAAAAACAAUGAAUUGAGGUAUAUUUGAUAUGUAUGCUAUUUUGCACUAUAGUGAAUCGUAUAGAUCAAUUAAAUUCUAGGCGGCGAAUCUUCACCAUUGAUGAAAUUGUGAUUCUAUGUUUAACUUCUACAGGUGUGUCCUCUGUAUAUUUCUAUAAUUUCAAUUUCUGAAAUAUCUAUUGUUUAUUAGAUUUACUUUCGAUAUGGUCACUAUUGUUUAUGGUUUAUAAAAAGAUAAAAUCUAUGUUUAUGGUAUUGGUUUGGUUAAUCUUGUAUAGUAUAUAUUUGCAGAAUUAUACGUAGUGGCUCUAUUUAGUAGGUUCAUAAUCUAAUCAUGUGUUUUAUCUUUUCUCAAGGACUCCUCUUAUUAUAAUUUGUCAAGAGUUCAAUUGCAAAGGAAUGCAUGAGUAGAAAGGUUUAGAGGCAGAAACUCUAUUCACUUUUCUUGAUUGAGAUCAAAUGUAUAUUUCCACCUAUACGAGUACCAAGAUUUUUUUUCUUGUGAUCCAUAUGCUUUUGUCCAUGCAAAUAGAGAGUCAGCAAUUGUUGAGGCUCAAGUAUUAGGGGCAAUAGUUCACUCUCAAGGUCCUUUGUUUGGAGAUGUUCAAAGAAAUCUGAAGUCUUCAAGUGUUCUUGUUAUUGGAGGCAUAUUUGAUACUUUGUGGAUAGUUUGGUAUUUCUAGUAUAACUCAUCGUUAGCUUUAGUGUGCAGUUUGUAAUAUUUGAUUUUGCAAUUUGUUUAUGUAAUUAUUAUAUUGUAGUAAAUUUGUUUAUAUAUUAAAUGAUUUAUUAUUAUUAUUUUUUUAUUUUUGGAAAUUUUUUUAUGACGGUCAUUAGCCGUGGUCAAUUUGUAAUUCACAACGGCUAUAAUGAAUGUGGUGUUAGAUCACAAUCUACCACGGGCACAAUCCGUGUUUAUUUCACAUUUGACAACGGGCAUAGUCCGUGGUAGAAACUAAGACUUUCUAUCACAUCCAGAUUACUAACGGGCACAGUGCCCGUGGUGGAUUGCAAUCUAUCACGGGCAUUGACCGUGGUAGAUGAGCUUUUUUCUACUAGUGUAUCGUCACGCAAAGUUUCUUGAAAUGGUUUGUUAAACAUUUAAGGAUGAUUAAUUAAUGCAAGCUUUGCGUGACGAAUCUUUCAUCGCUCAAAGGUUUCAUAUGUUAUAUAAAAUCACAGAUCCACUCUCCAUUUUCCUCUCAUCCUUUUCCCCAAAACUGUCAAGGCCCCCUCAUUUGCUUCUUCCCAAAACCCCUUAUGUCCCAAUUCUUGUUUUACUUUUCUGUACGAUGGUUGAUUUCAUUGCUGCUCCAACUAACCAAGGGUGUGAGGGCCAAGGAUCUCGGAAAGGUAAUAUCAAAUUUUGUAUGGAUUUAAUACUUUUUGUUUUGUUGUGGAAAAAAAAUUAUUUGAUCAUUAUCAUAAAAUUGGAUGUGUUUGUACCAUACUUGACCAAUCCCGAAACUACUGAGCAUCGGUCAACGUUAUACCGUCAAGGACCCAGAAGAGUUUCCCUCAAACUAGAAGGCCAAUCACAGCGCGACACGUGUUGAUAUCAGAAGCCAAUCAUAACGCGACACGUGUCGACAUCAGAAGCCAAUCACAACACGACAUGUGUCAAUGUCAAAAUGAAACUAGAAACUUUCUUCUAUAAAUAGAGAUCAUUCUCUCACAAUAUUUCCUGAUGUCAUUUGUACUAAAUCAUUCACUAGUACUCACUAAAGGAGAGCUUGAACCUAUGUACUUGUGUAAACCCUUCACAAUUAAUGAGAACUCCUCUACUCCGUGGACGUAGCCAAUCUGGAUGAACCACGUACAUCUUGUGUUUGCUUCCCUGUCCCUAUCCAUUCACAUACUUAUCCAUACUAGUGACCGAAGCAAUCUAGCGAAGUUCACAAACUUAACACUUUCUGUUGUACCAAAGUCCUCAUUGAUUUUGUGCAUCAACAUUUGGCGUCGUCUGUGGGAACGACACUUAUUCUCACUCUCUUCAGCUUUGUUGAGCUGGUUUCCACCAUUUGUACACUCUCUUUUGACCAGGCAUCCCUUUCUAACAUGGGGAGCGAAGGAAGCCACAUCACACAGAAUGACACCCUCUUGCACCUGGUGCGAAGCAACAAAGGAAGGAAUAAAAGAAGUUUGCUUUUCAGGCUAAAAUCGAUGAGCUGGAAGCUUAGAACAACAAGAUAGCGAUGAAGAAUGAGAUCAUUCAAGAGCAGUAUGAGAAGGUCUUCGAGAUGCUCCACGAGGCUAGAUAUACUAAAACACACGAGCUCAUCACUCCUGUGGAAGUCAACCAUCAACUGGGUGCCCCCCAACACGGAGGGUCAUUUGUCUUCGACAUGGGUAUUCCUGUUGAGGAGCGAGCUACUCAUUAAAAUGGCGACCAACAUGAGACUUCUUUCAAACCAGGUGCUUCGACUCGAAGCAGGAGGAGUGGAGGAAGGCACCUCAUUACAGAAAGAGUGGAAGGAUCGAAAGUUGUCUUUCGCGAUUGUCGAGACUUUCUAAAGCAACGUCGAGACAAUCCCAUUCAUGUACGCUCGAAGAUCAAUGACUCAAGGGUCUCUGAAAGACUUGGUCCCCUCCCAUGUCCUAGGACAGCUACCAAUUUGGGGAAGGGGAAACAAGUCUUAGAGGAACACGAAGGUAUAGGGGACUCAGAGAUGUUCCGACAGACAUACCUUGGAAGUCAGUACAGCGAGUCCAAGGAAAAAUCACAUGCUCUUGAUCAAACCUUCCUACUUCUAAGAGGAGAUAGAGAUUUACGAAAGAAAGCUUCGGUGGUACAUGACUCCACUCAAGACCCUCUUAUCCUACAGCUCCUUAAGGAAGUAAACAAGUUGAAGGCCGAACGACAAGCUGAGAUACCUGAUUGGAACCAACCUAGGCCUGGCCUUCUUACAAGGAAGAUCCUCGACACCCCCCUCCAAGCAAAGAUAAAGCAGAAGCUUGGCUUGCAACUCUAUGGAAAGGAGGACCUGAUUGAACACAUUAACCUCUUUGAGUCCACCAUGGCAUACUGGAUGCACACCGACAAAAAGCAAUGUCUUCUCUUCCCCUCCACCCUCUCUGAUUGAACACAUUGUUGUCUUCCACCUGAGACGGUGACUCAUUUGAGAAAUUGAGGAAACUGUUUGUUUCUAAACACAUUUUCCAGACCGAUCGCUUGCACUCUGCGGAUGACUUGUACACUAUUCGCCAGAAGCCAAAUGAAUCAUUACAUAUGUACAUUGGCCGCUUCAGCCAUGAGUAUUUCCGUUGUGCCGAGGCAGAUGAUAAGGCUGCCCUCAAAGCCUUCACGGCGGGCUUACGUGAUUGUUUCUUCAAGUACAUGAUCAAUGCCAACACUUGGAAGACUUACUCUAAGGUGAUGGCACAGACUUACAACCAUGCCUCCGCCGAGGCAAGGACAUAUCAAGGGAAACCCCCCACAACCACCCCUUAUCAACAAGUAGGGAGUGGAAACCAUAUCCAACCAAAUGAGAAGACCUCGACCUUCCAAACGGCAGCGAUGCAUUCCCUUGCCUUACUUAAUACUUUACCAAGUCAACAGACAUAUCAACUUCAGGGUAAAAGGAAAAAUUUCCAUCCUCAACAGUCUCAUUUUAAUAAAAGGAGUAAGGGACACUAUCGCGAUAACCAAGGGUAUCGCCAUGAUAAUGCCCACCCCCAGGCAGUUAACAUAAUGGGUCAAGCAUGUGUCAGGACAUGCCCUACCCCGAUGUAUGAGACAUACACACCUUUGAACGCCACAUACGUGGCCAUUUACCCCAGCAUAGCAUACAUGAUACCGAGCCAAUGCUGAGGCAGUCGGGUUACAAGCCCAUGAAGAACAUGGGCACGUUUUGUUGCUACCAUGAGCAUAACGGCUAUGACGACGAGAAGUGUAUCACCCUUCGUGAUCAUAUUGAAGCUUUGAUGCGUGAAGGAAAAAUUUAUUGAUUCCUUCUUCACCCUUCAAGGCAUAACCGUAACCAACGCCAAGUGAAUGUGAUAUAUUCCAUAAACGGCGGCACACCCAUAUCUGAAUCUUCCAAUAGGGCCAUGAAAAACAGUGAACGAGCUUUAAGGCCUGGCCACCAAGUGUUUCACGUGGAAGACAUCAGGGGAAGCAAGUAUGAAAAGCCUAACUGGGAUAUAAUAUGUUUCUACUCUGAGGAAGAAAGAGGUAUCAUCUACCCUCACAACGACCCACUGAUCGUGGAGGCUCACAUAGCCAACUUUGAAGUACAACGAAUCCUGGUAGACACGGGGGCUUUGGUUAAUAUCAUGUUUGCUGAAGCUUUCAGGGCACUUAAUGUAGCUGAACACUUGCUCGAUCACUCGAUUUCUCCUCUAAUAAGCUUCUCCCGUGAUAUCGUGCAACUUUUAGGGAGCAUGCACUUACCUUUCAUCAUUGGUAUAGGCCCUUACACAGCUACCAUUACCACUAACUUCCUGGUGGUUGAUUGCCCAACGGCAUACAAUGUCAUCUUUGAACGCACAGGCAUCAAUAAUCUCAAGGCCAUGGUAUCCACACAUAUGUUAUUGAUGAAAUUUCCAACCCCCUAUGGCAAUGGUUACAUCAGAGGAGAUCAACUUAGUGCACGGUCAUGUUACAACUCUUCGGUCAAGCAACAACACCUGCCUGUGCCCAAGGAAACCUUUUCUAUACAUGACCAAGUCAUAAAGACCAGCCCGGACGAAGCCAACUUGGAUCUUUACGGUGGCAACAAUCAACUUGACGAUCCUCGAGAUGACUCUUUCACCUAGCAAGCACAACUCGCUGAAGAGCUGGAUAAGGUUUCUAUAUCAAAAGAUUAUCCAGAUCGCAUGGUGAAGAUUGGCACCACCUUAUCACCACCUAUUCGAUUGGCAUUGAUCUUUUUUUUACAAGAGAACACUGAGGUCUACGCCUGGUCAUACGAAGACAUGCCAGGCAUUUCUUUCGAUAUGUCAUCGCUUGAGUAUUGACCCCAAGAGCAAGUCAUUGAGACAGAAGCGAAGAUCUUAUGACGUUGAACGAUAUGAAGCAAUGAAGGUAGAAGUUGAAAAACUCAAAGGCAUAGGCUUCGUCCGCGAAGUCAAUUACCCAACAUAGGUAGGAAAUGUGGUCUUUGUUAAGAAAAAUCCAACCAAAGAAAGUCUCUUGCUCCAAAAGGUCUUGUGGAGAAUAUGUGUAGACUACACCGACCUAAACAAAGAAUGCCCGAAUGUAGCUUUCCUCUUCCUAUCAUUGACAGACUUAUAGACUCUACGACAGGGUGUGAACUCUUGAGCUUCAUGGAUGCUUACUCAGGAUACAAUCAAAUCCUCAUGAACCCUCCAGACCAAGAACACACAACCUUCACUACUGACAGGGGACUAUAUUACUAUAAAGUUAUGCCAUUCGGCCUAAAGAAUGCAGGAGCGACUUAUUAGAGACUGGUCAAUUCAAUGUUCGCCGAACAGAUUGGAAAGAGCAUGGAAGUUUACGUUGAUGAUAUGCUAGUCAAGAGCAAACAUGCUGACUAACACAUCACCAACCUAUCUGAAACUUUCACCAUUCUGAAGAGGUAUCGAAUGAGGUUGAACCCUAAUAAAUGUGCCUUCGGCGUAGGCUCUUGCUAAUUCUUAGGCUUUAUGAUAAACCAACGAGGCAUUGAGGCUAAUCCUAAGAAAAUCAAAGUAAUCAUCGACAUGAAAUAACCAGUAACUUUAAAAGACAUCCAGAGCCUUACUGGCAAGGUGGCAGCCUUAACUAGGUUCAUCUUUAAGGCCAUAGACAGAUAUGCUUAUUUCUUCAAAGCACUUAAGGGAAGUAAGAAGUACAUUACAUGGACUGAUGAAUGUGCCGAGGCAUUUAAGAACCUUAAAGACUACAUGAGUAAACCCCAUCUGCUCUCCAAACCUGAGGUUGGUGACACUCUUAUUAUCUAUUUGUCGGUAUCGGCUUCAGCAGUAAGUUCCGUUCUCAUUCGAAAUAAUGGUAAUGUUGAACGGCCUGUCUACUAUGCUAGCAAGGCCUUACAAGAUGUGGAGACACGAUACUCCAACAUUGAGAAAUUGGCUCUAGUAUUGGUCAUGUCUGCUCGAAAACUUCGCCCUUACUUCCAAGCAUACUCCAUCAUCGUGCUUACCAAUCAUCUUGUUCGACAGAUACUUCAAAGUCCUGACACUUCUGGGCGAAUGAUCAAAUAAGCGAUAGCAUUGGGUGAGUUUGACAUCUCCUACUAACCAAAGCCAGUUGAGAAGGGCCAAGCAGUGGCAAACUUUAUCGCCGACUUCAUAUAUCCUGUUGACAUUGUUUCUACGCCUAAAGAAGUGGUUUCAUUACCCUCGGAAGCUUAAACAAUAGAACCAAUAGCCCCAGCAUAGAGUCUAUAUGUUGAUGGCUCGUCCAACCAACAAGGUUGUGGAGCAGGACUAGUCCUUACGACCCCUGACAAAGUGGCGAUGGAGUAUGCUCUUCAUUUUAAAUUCAAGGCGUCGAACAAUGACGCUGAAUAUGAAGCCCUCCUAACAGGUUUACGUUUGGCCAAACACCUUGGGGUUAAACGAAUUGAUAUCUUUAGUGACUCCCAAUUGGUGGUUAACCAGGUCAUCAACAACUUUGACGCUAAGGAUAGCUCCAUGGCAGCAUAUCUAGCACAAACACAAUUGUUGCUUAAACACUUCCACUACCAGAUCACCCAAAUUCCUCGAGCGGCAAGCAGUCAUGCAGAUGUUUUAGCUCGCCUCGCCUCAGCGGUGGAAGACAAGAUUGGGAAAAAAAUUUAGGUCGAAUUGUUGGCAUCACCAAGCACCAUGGUCGCGGAAAUGUGCAACUUACAACAGGAGGAUAGUUGGAUUACCCUGAUUUAUAGAUCCCUUGCUCAUGGCACCCUUCCAAAUGACAAAGUCCAAGCUAAGAAGAUUCGAUACAAGGCUACCCGUUACUUGAUCAUUAAUGAGCAACUUUACAAGCGGGGUUUUAACCUACCAUACCUAAGAUGCCUUAAGCCCGCAGAGGCAGAAACUGUCAUUAGGGAAAUACAUGAAGGAGUCUACGGAGAUCAUGCUGGAUCUCGAUCCCUAGCACACAAGGCUUUUCGCCAAGGAUAUUACUGGCCAACACUUCACCAAGAUGCCAUCAGAAUAUCUCGCUCAUAUGAUAAGUGUCAACGCUAUGCAACUAUUCCUCACUCCCCUCCUGAGCCGCUCACUCCUAGGUUUAGCCCUUGGCCCUUUGCCCAAUGGGGACUUGAUUUGAUUGGCCAAUGCCUGCAGGGAAGGGCAAGGUUCGAUAUGCAAUUGUUGCAGUUGACUACUUCACAAAGUGGGCCGAAGUAGAACCCUUGACAACCAUUACUGAGGCAAAAAUAGAAGACUUCGUAUGGAAGAACAUCCUUUGCAGAUUCGGCAUUCCCAAUGCGAUAGUCACUAACAACGGGCGACAGUUCGACAGCAAUAAGUUCAUGACGUUCUGCUUUAAGCUCAAAGUGGGGGACUGGUUAUUGAAGAAAAGAUUACUCUGCGACAGAGUCCCGAGUGAAAGAACACUUAGUCCAAACUGGGAUGGACCGUUUGAAGUUGUUGGCAUCAGUCGCCCUGGCUCCUACAAGCUUAGAAGCUUCGAUGGCAAGACCCUUGGCCAUCCAUGGAACGCUGAUCACUUGAAGUACUAUUACAAGUAAACUCACAUUAUACAAGUGUUAAGCUUCAGCCGUUCGGCAUCCUAUGUAACGAAGACUAUUUGACAUGAAUUUAAUAAAGAGGUGAUUUAGACAACUCGGUCCUAAUCCUCUUACAAUCCUAGCAAUGAAACACUCGAGUUCAAAGCUUCAACAUGAAUGCUUCCAACAUGAAACAAAGUCUAAGUAUAUGUCAACAAGACUAUAUAAAUAAACGAACAACUUCAUAGUAUAUUCGUUCAAUCAUACAUUCCAACACAUUCAUACAUAAGCCAAUUGUGCUUCGAAAGGGUUCAACAUACUUUAUGUCAUUCGACACUUGCUACAAUGUGCCUCGACCCCUUGCCCUUAUUCUCACCAACCAGGUGAUGAAAUGUGAAGAAGGAACUCAUCUUCAUGCCACCAACCAGGUGAUGAAAUGUACAACCCGUACUCUAAUAUCAUUUGGCAACUUGUCAUUUAUGCCACCAACCAGGUGAUGAAAUGUACAACCCGUACUCUCCUUCGUGCCACCAACCAAGUGAUGAAAUGUACAACCCGUACUCUAAUAUCAUUUGGCAACUUGCCACUCAUGCCACCAACCAGGCGAAGAAAGAACUCAUCUUCAUGCCACCAACUAGGUGAUGAAAUGUACAACCCGUACUCUCCUUCAUGCUACCAACCAUGUGAUGAAAUAUACAACCCGUACUCUAAUAUCAUUUGGCAACUUGCCAUUCAUGCCACCAACCAGGUGAAAAAGGAACUCAUCUUCGUGCCACCAACCAGGUGAUGAAAUGUGAUGAAAGGUGAUGAAGGAACUCACCUUUGUACCACCAACCAAGUGAUGAAAGCAACUCACCAUCCAUUCCACCUACCAGAAGACAAGUGGUACAACUUGUACAUAUGAACUUCUAACAUUCAUAAAUAAUCAAAAACCCUCAAGCUUGACUACUCAACUAGGGGAGCACUUAUGCCUAACAAGAGUUAUAAUCACCAACAAAGUCUUAUUGCAAGCCAACAACAACUUCAGUGCAUGGCAUACUAAAAUCAAGUUAUUCAGCCCUCUUGUAUCUGCUUCAGACAUUUCUCUUUUGUAACAAUGCAAACACUACAACUCGUAGAAAGCUUCGCACAUUCUUGAUCAAGACAGUGUGAAGCAAAACCAAUUUACGGUGCCAACAAGAGCUUCAUCAAAUGAGUUCAACCACAAUUCUCAAAAGCUUCACACACUCUUGAACAAGACAGUGUGCACCAAAACCAAUUUAUGGUGCCAACAAGAGCUUCAUCAAAUGAGUUCAACCACAAUUCUCAAAAGCUUCACACACUCUUGAUCAAGACUGUGUGAAGCAAAACCAAUUUAUGGUGCCAACAAGAGCUUUAUCAAAGGAGUAUAAACACAAUUCUCAAACGCUUGAUCAAGAUAGUGUGAAGGAAAACCAAUUUAUGGUGCCAACAAGAGCUUCAUUAAUGGAGGGCAACCACAAUUCUUAAAAGCUUCACACAUUCUUGAUCAAGACAGUGUAAAGCAAAAGCAAUUUAUGGUGCCAACAAGAGCUUCAUCAAAGGAGUUCAACCACAAUUUUCAAAAGCUUCACACACUCUUGAUCAAGAUAGUGUGAAGCAAAACCAAUUUAUGGUGCCAACAAGAGCUUCAUCAAUGGAGGGCAACCACAAUUCUCAAAAGCUUCACACACUCUUGAUCAAGGCAGUAUGAAGCAAAACCAAUUUAUGAUGCCAACAAGAGCUUCAUCAAAGGAGUUCAACCACAAUUCUCAAAAGCUUCACACUCUUGAUCAAGACAGUGUGAAGCAAAACCAAUUUAUGGUGCCAACAAAAGCUUCAUCAAUGAAGGGCAACUACAACUCGUAGAAAGCUUCACACACUCUUGAUCAAUACUGUUCAAAGCAAAUUCAAUUUAUAUGGUUCAUCCAAACUUUCGACUGCUAUAACGUGUGGCUUGCAUCACAAUCUUUUGCUCAACAAUGUGGAAGCAAAAUUUGUAUAUGUUGUCUCUCCCACAUUUCCAAAUUUCUAGAUUCCCAAAAAAAAAAAGAAAAAAAAAAGGGAAAUUCAACAAAGCUUCAUCAAUGGAAGACAACUACAAAUUCUCAAAAGCUUCACACUAUCUACACUAUCUUGAUCAAGAUAGUGUGAAGCAAAAUGAAUUUAUGGUACCCAACAAAGCUUCACCAUAAAAGCUUCACCAACAAAAGCUUCAUCAGUGGAGGACAACUACAAAUUCUCAAAAGUUUCACACUAUCUUGAUUAAGAUAGUGUGAAGCAAAAUCAAUUCAUGGUACCCAACAAAAGCUUCAACUCCAAAGCUUCACCUACAAAUAUUCAACUCCAAAGUUUUACCUACAAAAGCUUCAACACAAAAGUUUCACCUACAAAGCUUCAACUCCAAAGCUUCACCUACAAAGCUUCAACACAAAAACUUCACCCACAAAAGUUUCACCCACAAUAGCUUCACCCACCACAAAAGCUUCACCCAUAAAAACUUCGCCCACCACAAAAGCUUCACCAACAAAAGCUUCACCUACAAAAGCUUCACCCAAAAAACUUCACCAACAAAAGCUUCACCCACCACAAAAGCUUCACCUACCACAAAAGCUUCACCUACAAAAGCUUCACCUACAAAGCUUCAACAUAAAAGCUUCACCUACAAAAACUUCACACUAUCUUAAUCAAGAUAGUGUGAAGCAAAGUCAAUUCAUGGUACCUAACAAAGCUUCAACCUCAAAGCUUCACCUACAAAACUUCAACACCAAAGCUUAAAUAUAUAUAUAUAUAUAUAUAUAUAUUCGGAAAUUCGAAAAUUCGAAAACUCAAAAAAAAAAAAAUUGAAAAAAAAAUUCGAAAAACAAAAUUGCCUAGGCCUCAUCUUCAUUGGGCCUAACAACUUUCAUAACAAAUAUAUAUGAAGGAGGAGUUUUGGCCUACCACUUAGAAAGGAAAUGCCUCAUUCGUCAAUUCCCUCGACCAGAGACUUAGGGGACUCCUACCAUAUGCUACUGCACUUUGAUACUCGAAAGUCUCAUGACCACUCAGUGACUUGGAUUUUUCAAGUCUCCAACUGAGAAGUUUUCCUCACUCGGGAAAUUAAGGGAGCACUACCUCAACAUACAUGCUUCACUCACAAAGCUUCAACAUACAAGCUUCAACAAAAGAAAAAACUCAAAAAACUUAGUGAAGAAGGCCUUAGUGUAUUUAACACAAUACGUUGAAAUGAAGCAAAGCUUGUUUAUUGAUAUCUCCACUAAGUUACAAAUAUGUACAUAUACAUGAAUCAACAUAAACAAACAAGAGAGAGUCUUCACAAAGGUUGCUCAGAAAAAGUCUCAGCAGUCUGCAGAUCCCCAAAAAGAGGAGGCACUGAAAGGUGAUUAUUCGGAGCCUCAGUACUAGGCAGAACCCCAAAAGGAGGAGGCACCGAAGGUUGAUCAUUUAGAACUUCACUACGCGGUACAGCCCCAGAAGAUGAAGGCAAUAAAUGCCUUUGGAACAAACCCACAAACCUCUGAUGAUCAAGUAAAAUCUGACCAUCAGAUUCCUGCAGCUGGUCGAGCUUCCUCUUCAUGUUUGUAGCAUAGUCAUAUGUGAGCCUGUGGAAUUGUUUAUUCUCAUGCUUGAGCCAUCUAAUCUCCUGUUUGAGACUUAUCACUUCAGCUGCCAAUGAUUCAACUUGGCGGGUUUGAGCAAAUAGGCAUUGGGCCAUAUUAGACACAGAACCUGCACACUGAACACUGAGAGCCAAAGAAUCCUUAACAACCAACUCAUCAGACCGUUUGGAAAGUAGUCUGUUAUCUUUGAGAGUGAGAAGGUUCCUGGCCACCACCGCAGCUGUUAUAUCAUUCUUCAUCACAGAGUCCCCAACGGUAAGAUGACCAGUAGGGGAUAAGAAGGAUGGGCGCCGUAUGUUGUCUUGAGAGGGCAUGGUUGCCUCUUCACCAAAGUUCAAGUCAAAACGACGGUCGGAUGGGCCAGACAUUCUCAGAAAUGAUGAAGGAGAAAUGAGGUGCAAUAAAUCUCUGAAGUACAAAAAUAAGGGGAAAAUUCCUACAAGCAAUAACUUUCUGAACGUACUUCUUGCACACAAUUGGUGCCCCUAUAAAAGAAAAGGCAACAAGGAUGUUGGUUCAAAAAUCGAAGAAGCACCACUCUCUGGAUUUCGAGAAGCAGAUUUUCUUGAGUAAAAUAUGUCGACAAUCCCCACACGCAACAUCAGCUCCUCGGGUACCACAUAUAACUUUGCUAAAGAUCUCUGACAAAGUUUAGACAUAUAAAUUUUGAAGGUCCAGUUACCCUACUAUUACCCACAAGGGUAAAGGAACAACACCACUGCUUAAUAACUGGAAAGUCCCUAUGUGUGUCAACCUCCAUGCUUCGUGGCAAAGCAGACUGGCAAAAAUGCUCAACCUUUACUCACAUUCGAGAAAACACUCCCAACAAGAUUGCUUGCUUAAAAAUCGAAGAGGCACAGCUCUCCGAAUCUCAAGAGCCAGACUCUCAACAUGAUUACUUGCUCAAAAAUCGAAGAGGCACCGCCCUCCGAAUCUUGAGAGCCAAACUCCCAACAGGAUUACUUGCUCAAAAAUCGAAGAAGCACAUCUCUCCGAAUCUCGAGAGCUAGACUCCCAACAGGAUUACUUGCUCAAAAAUCGAAGAGGCAUCGCUCUCUGAAUCUCAAGAGCCAGACUCCCAACAGGAUUGCUUGCUCAAAAAUCAAAGAGGCACCGCCUUCCGAAUCUCGAGAGCCAGACUCCCAACAAGAUUACUUGCUCAAAAAUCGAAGAGGCACAUCUCUCCGAAUCUCAAGAGACAGACUCCUAAUAGGAUUACUUGCUCAAAAAUCGAAGAGGCACCGCUCUCCAAAUCUCAAGAGCCAGACUCCCAACAGGAUUGCUUUCUCAAAAAUUAAAGAGGAACCGUUAUUCGAAUCUUGAGAGCCAGAUCCCCGAUAGGAUUGCUUUUUCGAAAACCGAAAAGGUACCGCUCUUCGAACUUCGAGAGCUAAAUUUCCUUAGAUAAAGCUUGUCUGCAAUCUUCACAUGCAACAUCAGCUUUCCAGAUACCACAGACCACUUUUUCAAAAUGCUCUGACAAAGUUAAAACACGUGAAUCUUACAGCUCCCACUACAUUGCUAUGACUGUGAAGGGUAAAGGAACAGCGUUACCACUCGCUGUUGGGACAAUUCCUAUAUAUGUCGACCUUCAUCAUCCACAGCUAGGUAGACCUGCAAAUAAAAAAAAAUGCUCAACUUUUCUUCACAUCCGAGAAGGCACUCUCAGCAGAGUCUCUUGAAAUACUCAGCUUCUUUUCCCCCCGAUAAUACCUUUGCAAACAAGCCACAUCAGAGCAAGAGUAUCUUAUAUCAUCAGGGUUAAAAGCAAGAGUAUCCCAUAUCAUGCUUUUUCCCUGUCUUUUCCUUUGGCCUUGUUCUUACCUGUAAGACAAGGAGAAAGAGAGCAAUCAGUCAGCACUUGGAAUCAAGCUUCCAGUCAGGAACUGACUGCUUGGAACCCCUUGCCUAAUUACUUACCUGGCAUUGCUCUUGAGUACUCAUCUUCAACAUCUUACGCUUCUAGAGAGGAUACCACAUCUGCCUGAGGAACAAAUAGGGCAAGUGAGAAGGAUAUAAGGAAGCAUGUGGAGACAAGCGUAACAGAACACGUGUUGAUACAUCCACUACUUUGCCAACAGCAAAAGUAUCCCAUAUCAUCAAGGUCGAACGUACUUUAGAUUUGAUGGACUGUUUUGACCCUUAAAUUCUUGAGUCGGCUUUAUACUAUGGAGGAAACCAGAAAACCAUUCAGCCUAGUUCAAGAAUAAGCCUGUGGAAAGUUACUUCUUCACAAUCAAAAGUAUCUUAUAUCAUCUCUUCUCCAUUUGCUUCUCCUCAUCCUUGUUGCUGUUUACGACACAAGGAGAAGGAGAACAAUCAACCGGAAGCUGAAGUUGAACCUCCGAUCCAGGUUGCUUGCUUGGAAGUCUGAUUGCUUACCUUGUUUAUUACCUCAUUCGGCAAAUCUCCUAGCUCGGCGACUUGGGGGACUCCUACUAUAGGGUUUGUAUCACACUUGAACAAGCCCGAAACUACAAGUAAGCUUCAAGUGAAAAUGAUGCCACACUUCGGUACUUAGAAGUUUUGUGAUUACUCAAUGGCUUGGAUCUUGCAAGUCCUCAACCGAGGAGUUUCCCUUACUCGGGAACUUAGGGGAACACUAUUUGUACCAUAUUUGACCAAUCCUGAAACUACUAAGCACCGGUCAACGUUAUACCAUCAAGGACCCAGAAAAGUUUCCCUCUAACCAGGAGGCCAAUCACAGCGCGACACGUGUCGACAUCAGAAGCCAAUCAUAACGCGACACGUUUCAACAUCAGAAGCCAAUCACAACACGACAGGUGUCAAUGUUAGAAUGAAACUAGAAACUUUCUUCUAUAAAUAGAGAUCAUUCUCUCACAAUAUUUCCUGAUGUCAUUUGUACUAAAUCAUUCACUAGUACUCACUAAAGGAGAGCUUGAACCUAUAUACUUAUGUAAACCCUUCACAAUUAAUGAGAACUCCUCUCAUCCGUGGACGUAGCUAAUCUGGGUGAACCAUGUACAUCUUGUGUUUGCUUCCCUGUCCCUAUCCAUUUACAUACUUAUCCACACUAGUGACCGGAGCAAUCUAGCGAAGGUCACAAACUUAACACUUUCUGUUGUACCAAAGUCCUCACUGAUUUUUUGCAUCAAUAGGAUGAAUAACUUAGUUUCUUUAUGAAAUUUUUUUGGUUUCCGUAGAGAAAAAAAAACAAGAGAAUGUAUGUGCGGGCCAAAAUGGGAAACAAUGACGGGCCUAGGCGAAUCAACUAUAAUGAUUUCAAGGGAUCUGAGAGGGAGUCACAUGCCCUGCUUGCGCAUAAUAUUGAGACAGAAUUGCGGAAUAAAUGUCCUCAAAGUGGGCGUCUUGGAAAAAAGUGCCAGAGGACCUAAAGAAGUUUAUGUUGGAUGAUUUAUCAAUAAGUGUCAUUUAUUAAUUUAAUAAUUAUUUUUAUAUAAUAAUUACAUUGUUGAGUAUUUAAUUAUGUUUUCCAUAACAGGCUAAUUAUAUUAUUGAUGAAAGGGACCCUAACUUGAUGAAUUUCAUCGAUAACAUAUUCAAUCAAGAGGCGUUGUUGGGAAAGAAAGUAUGAUGUCGAGCGAAGUACACAUGCACCACCAGCGAAGUUGUUUUUUUUGUUUAGCUAUUAUGGACAAAUAAAAUAUUUUCUUAGAAUGUAACCGGAUUGUAGCAAAUGUUUUUAUUUAACAUUUAUGGACGCUUCAAAUAUUUUCUUAGUUUGUUGUCAGAUUAAAUAUUUACUUUAAGUACUUAUUGGUUCAAUUUUAUUUACCUUGUAUAGAUGGGUUAAAUAAUUUGUUUUCUUUAAAUAUGUGGUUUAAAAAAAUUAGUCACGAUUACUAAUUAAUAGAAAGAAAAAAAUGCAUGGUGAAGGGGAUUCUUCACAUAAAGAUGCUUUGUGCAACGAAAAUGGAUUAAGAGUUGCACAAAUGCACUAUGCACAACGAAGCCUUCGUCGCGCAAAGAUGUUGUCUUUAUUACCAGAAAGCCAAUUGCGAGAGAGCCAAAAACUGGAAAAAUUGCGGCAGCUGCCUUUCCCUCUCCCUCCCUCAUCUCUCUUCAAAAUUGUCCUUAACUCCCUCGAUCUCUCAAUUUUGUCCUCCACUCCCUCAAUCUCCCUCUCCUCUACCUCCACCUCCACCUCAUUACCCUUCCUCGAUCUAUUCUGCUCUACAUCCGGUAAGGGAUUGAUUUUGUAUUUUUUAAUUGUGAAUUCAGACUAGCAAAAUUGUAUUUGUUUUGUAUAGGCGUUGUUCUAUACGAUUAACGGUGAAUAAUGAAUUUGGAGGUAUUGUUGAUGCAAAUUUCCGCUGUUUCUUGCUUUGACGAAAAUCCACCUGCAAAACAAUCAACACAUUUGAUCAAUGACCUAAGUCUCAUGUGCCCAUGAGGUGGGGAGGGGGUUGGCCAAUAAAUCUUUGAUGCCUAAGGUAGUUUCUCUGUAAAGAGUAAGUAUUUAGGGCCUUUUAGUGUGGUAAAAACUUACUGAAAUUUGAUAGAAUUGAAUAUAUACAUAGGAAAGAAGGUCGGCCAUAGUGUUAGGUUUUACCCUACAUAUGGCAUCAUCCUAUUGGCUAAGGUGUAUGGAAAGAAUAUUCUUAAGAUAUUAAAUAGGAAAUAAUAUCUUGAGAUGUGGAGUAGAUAUCCCUAUUGAUUGACAUAGAGAUUACUUACUUGAAUGGAGUCAACCUUCAAUUGGGAAUGUGAUAAAAACAGGAUUUGGGUGAUUAAUCCUUAUCUUUAAUACUUUGACUUUUCCUUGCCAAGGACAGGUGAACUGUGGACCUUCAGAGAUGUAAGGUUCUAAAAAAUGUUAGGCGCUAGUCGGGUUGGCGCCUAGCGCCUAGGCGGGGUCUAGGCGGGCACCUAGGCGGAUUUAGGUAAAUUUCUUAUAUAUCUUGUAAAUAAGUGUAUUGACACUUACAAAAAAUUAUACUUGUAUGAAAUCCCUAAAUAAGAUAGUAAAAGAAUAAUAAAAUGCUAUCUAACAAGUCCAAAAAAUCAAUAACACUUGAUGCUAUGAACUGACAGGCUGACAAUCUAUGUUUUUUUAAUGAAAAAAAAAUUAAUAGCACUUGAUGCUAUGGAUGGACUGACAGCCUUUUUUCUUUUAGAAAAGUCAGGAUGCUAGCUGUCCAAACCUGAAUGGACAGAAAAAAUAAAUAAAUUAAAUAGUUUGAAAGUGAUCACGUGGAUGUGGAAGGAAGAGAGAGAAACAAAUUUUCUCUCAUCUUCUUCCUCUUCACAAGAACACAUACCAUAUGCUCAUGAAGUCCAGAAAAACCAGAACACAUCUAAUCUGCAUUCAUCAUUUCUCAAGUUCGAACACAGAAAAAAUUGAAAUUCCCAGACCGCCUAGGCCACCCAAAGGCCGAUCAGGCCACCUCGGCGCCCACCUAAUCCCUGUCCCAAUUUUGCAUUAAUCCCGGCGGUUGGCUAUCGCCCAGCACCUAGGCACCACCUAGGCCAAUUUUUAGAACACUGCAGAGAUGUUGAACUGUGUGUGAGAGAAUCUGAGGUCUAGCCUGCCCAUUUAAUGAGGAAAAUCUUGUCUUUCUUGAGCAAAAGUCCACGUGUCACCUCUAGAAUUUUUGGGAUUGUUUUGGGCUUCACAUGUACCUUUUUCACUAAUUUAAUUUUUAUUAAUUUGAGUUCUUUAAAUUAUUUUUUGAUAUUUAUGUGAUUUAAUUUAUUUGUAUGAAAGCCAGUGGUCUCCUACCACAGUGAUGGAAAAGAGUGUUACCCUUGCACCAAGGUGUGGGUUCGAAUCCCGUUGGCUCCCUAAUUUAACAACUAAUUUAACAAAUCUAUUGUUUGAUGAAAAAAAAAAUUAUUUUGUAUGAAACAUUUUUGUACGUGAUGGACAAAAAUAUUUUCUCUUGUAUAGAGUUAAUAGUACUAAACUUUGUACGCUUUUGUUCAUAAAAGCUUAGUUUCCCGUUAAAAAAUAGUUGGAUUUCGCACAUGGAUGUGAGAGCAUGACUGCUGUCCAAUUAAUUCUUGAAUUGUCCCAUUUUUUGGACAAUUUGGGAGUGCACGGUUAUGUGCCGUAGUUUGCGGUCAAUCAAGGGAAAUUUGGUAACAUCUCUUUGCAUUCUUUGAGUGCAUGAUAAGUAUUUUUUAUCAACGUCGUGAAGAACUGCAGGGAGAUGCUGCUGAAUUUUUUCCACAUCGAAAUCUAAUCUGAUGGAGCCGUAGAUUACGGCACAUAACUUUGCAUUUCCGAAUGGGAUAUGGCCCUUAUUGGAAGCAUAAGGUGACAAGUCAUAAUUGAAGUUGUUAUAAUCCUUGAAGUUUUAUUUUGUUUCCAGGCAAUAUGGAGGACAAUGGGUACAGAACCCUAAUAAAUGUGUUGAUGAAUACUUGGAUAGCAUAUAUCGGUUUAAUGAAUUUGUACUUACAUACAACCGGGUUCACAUGGUCAUUUACGUGACAAUUUAACGAGGACAGUAACAGAUUUGUUAUGGAAUGACUAAAAUAAUUUACGAUGGACAAACUCAAGGACCACAUCAGUCGAUUUUCGUUGUCAGGGACCAAAAUGAGGAGUUAUGUCAAUCUCAAAGAUCAUUUUAGAUAAAAACCCUAUUCUCUACUUCAUCAUAGCUCAAGUCCAUUGUGAAUACUCACUUGUCUUUCCAAGACGAUUGUUGCGAAUGGCUUAAGAGGAGACUCGAUUGGAAAAUAUUCCUUAAAAGCCAAUCAUAAAAUGAUAUUUUACCUACAUUUCAUAUAUUUCCAAUCUCAUAUCAAAGAGGGCACUUUCAUCUUUUUCUUUUGACGUUUACACAUGCAUGUAGGAGCUGAUGGGCUUGCACUUUGGGGCCGUAAUAUUUUUCAUAACUUUUUCUUCUAACGUUUACGCAUACACAUAGGAGAAAGUUAUGAAAUAUACCAUGUGACAACCAAGGUUCUCAAAUUGCUCGUUAUGCACAAACAUAUAUAUAUAUAUAUAUAUAUAUAUAUAUAUAUAUAUGUUAAGGUAAAUAUAAAUGUUUGGGGUUCGUGCAUCAUGGGGAAUGUUUCAUGCAUCAUGGUCGUUGAAAAUACCAAACAUGGAUUUUAGGAGAACUUGAUUGGCAGGAAACAAUUGAACCUUUGAAUUUGUAGAAGGACCUCCAUGUACCUUCAGUUCCUUACCAUCAGUUUUCUUAGAGUCACGCUAGAGUUUUGCUGAUAACAUGUUGUAGUCCUACUUAACUGAACAACUAUAAGAGAGAGAGGGGGUGUGCCGGGAACAAGAAGAGAUAGUUGAUGAACAAGAAGAGAUAUUUGAUGUAAUUCUGAGGUUUUUGAUCUCCCCUAAUAGGAUUUUUACCACCCAUAAAAGAGAGAUAAAAAUACUUGCAAGAGUACAAGGGAGUUGUAACAGGAAUGGUCAUGUAAGGUUGUUCUCCAUAGGGAUUAUUUUGAAAUAAUUUAUGUUAAAACCAAAUCUUAAUUAAUUAUUUAAAACAAAGUUUAGAAAAGAUUCAUUUUGUAAUUAAAAAUAACAAAAACAAAUUUAAUAAAAAACAAUUUAAAAAUUUCAGCAAACUAAAAUAAACUUAAAAGAAAACGGUUUUGGAAAUCAAUUUAAAAAAGCAUUAGGGUUCCGUCUCAUCUUAACAGUCCUAUGGAGUUUUAACAAUUACUUAUGAAUGACGCAUGUGAAUUUGAAGGUCAGGUGUUCCUUAUGCAUAUUCUCCUCGUGAUAUUCAAGCAAUAAUGUUUAUCUAACAUGCAAUCCGCUUGUGAUAUUAGAUAAAAUAGAACAUGCAAGACUCAUUAAGCUUUAUGAAAACUUUUUGAAAAACCACGCAACCCUUAAGAACGUGAUAUUUGCCUUAAGUGAAAUUACAAUUGUCAAUCACAAGAAACCAUACUCAAUCCUCCGAUGAUAUUCCAACCGAAUUGCAUUUGAUUACUUAUCUAAACAUCAUAAUGGUCGUGAAGCACUAAGACAUAAAGAUAAUUUAAACAUAGUUAUUAAUAAUUCAAAGCAUGCAUGCAUAAUAUAAUAAGCAAUUUAAAUAAAGAUUACAUAUACAUGCUAUGGCUCAUGGCCUCGCCCAAGCAAAAGAAAGUUAGUUACACCUAAUCAUAGUAAAAAAAAAGGAAAUAUUAUUAAGAAAAAGGAAAGAAAACACCUUGUAAAAAUAAAGUUGAAUCAUCAAAAGCUCUCUAACCUAGUUCUCCAAAUUGAUGCAUAGUAAACCCUAAUGGUUGAUUAGCCUUAUUUAUACUACUACAAAAUAAAAUUCUUCUUAGGAAAGGUCUCUUGAAAAUAGGAAACAAAAUAAGUUAAAAGAAACUAGAAAACAUAAUCCUAUAAUAUAAAGGAGAAUCUGUUAGUUAACUGAUCUGCCACGUUCAGGGCCUUAGGCACCUCCAAAACAGGCCCAAGAUGACUCUUUUUAAAACUUAAAAUGUUAUGAACAUAUUUCCAGACUGGCCCGAACUUAAAACACACCAUCUUGGACACCAAAAAGCCUAAAUAAGCCCAAAACAUCAUUUUGACAGCUUUGUGCUCUGGUCUUUUAUUUCAUCACCAUAAAUAAACCACUUGGUAGAAAAAUUUGAAAUUUUGACACAAACAAGUUGAAAGGCUCAUGAACAUCCUCUAAUUAGAAUCACUCCAAAAUUCAUCCAUUUGAUCACUUUUUACUUAAGAAUAAAUCACAAGUCCUACAUUAGAAAUAUAAAUCAAAGUAUCAAAAUUCACCAAAAUAAUUACCAAAGGAUACUAAGAAUAGGGUAAAAUAUAUAAUAUAAAAUCGACUCAUCACCCCCAUUGUGUCUUUAUUUAUAGUAGUAGGGAAGGUAAAUUCCUUACUCCAAUAGUAUUACAACUUUAAAUGAUAAUAUCUAAAGAUAACAUAUGGUAGAAUCCUACAAGGAUAUCCAAUAUUCAAUAAGAUUUAUAUGAUCACAUUUCUAAACCAUUAGGACUGCAACAAAAUCAUAUAAAAACCAUAUAUUAUGGUUUAGAAUAUGUUAAACGGGUUUAUGGGGUGAUUUUGGAGUGGGAGUGCUAUUAUCAUAUCCGCCACAUCGAGUUUAAAAAGGGCAGAUUCCCGCACUUAUCCAUACCCAUUGGAUUCUUUGGCUAUGGCCGAUGUAUGAAGGGGAAUUUUGUUUGGACCCAUUUGUUCUCUUUCUACAUCCAACUUAUUAAUUUGUUAUCUUGAAAUUUCAAAUGUAUUCAAUAAUUUUCUUUCUACACCCAACAAGCACAAAAAAAUAAAAAAAAUAAAAAUUUAGCAAUAGGCAACUAUGGUCAUCUUCUCUCUCCAAACCUCAACCACUCUAGUUUCUACCCCUCUCCAAUCCCUCACUGUCACCUCCCCUACCAUCCACAACAAUUUGAAAAUUAAGAGAACCUUUUUUCCUAAUAGUCCACCAUUAAAAAGACCCAAAAGAAAUUUAUGUUAAUAAUACUUUUUGGGAAAUUCAGGAUAAUAUUAAAAUUGUGGGGGGUUGGGGAUUGGCAUAAAUUGGGGGUUGUUAGGGUUUGGAGAGAUGGAGUGGUCGGAGUUUUCUAGUGCUGGAAUUUUUUUUUAAUCUUUUUUUGCUCUUUUUUUAUUUGAGUAUAGAAAGAAACUUGUUGGGCACAUUCGGAAUUUCAAAAUUAAGGGUUUGAAUUAAAUUUUCUUGAAACAUCCCAAUCAAAUGUUCUACUAUAUAUAUAUACAUUUUUUUUAUGAGUAGAUUUUAUAUUAUAUAUUUAACCCUAUUCUUAGUGUAUUUUGGUUAAUAUUUUGGAAGAAUUUUGAUACUUUGAAUUGUAUUUCCACUAUAGGACUUUUAAUUCCUCUGGAGCAGAACAUGGUCAAAUGGACGAAUUUUGGAGUAAUUCUAGUUGGAGGACGUUUGUGAGUCACUUAGCUUGAUCGUGUCAAAAUAUGAUAUUUUCCUACCUAGUGGUGAUUUUCUGGCAAUAAAAUAAGGGAGCGAUGCGCAGUGCUGGAAAAAUGACGUUUUGGGAUUAAAUUACAUUUUUGGAGCCGAGCUUAUCUCUGAUAGAUUCGUGACCUUCUGAAGAUGUGUUUAGAACGUUCUUAUCUUUAAAACAAGAUAUCAUGGGCCAGGUUUGGAGGAGAUUUGAGGCUGAAACGUGGCUGUACAGUUUAUGUGCAGAUUUUCUUAGCUUAAUCAGGACUCUAUUUUCUAAGUUAUUUUAUUAUUAUUUAGUUUUCUAGUUGGAAUAAAAGACCCGAGUUUUAGGGAUUGUGUGGGCAUAGCAGAUAUAUUGCUUUGGCUGUUCUUAGUUAAAGGGGGGGGGGGGGACACUUGCUUUUAUAAACUUGUGAGACAGAGAGCUUGGUGAGGGUUCUUGGAGAUUUUCUACUUUAAGGUGUUUUCAUUCUUUUUCCUAGUUAAUGAUAUUUUCUAUGAUUUUAAUUAUGAAUAUGCGUAACUAAUUCCCGUUUGCUAGGGCGAAGCCUUAAGCCUUAGCAUGAAUAUGCAAUUUUUAUUUAAUUGCUUAUGAUUGAUUGCAUGCAUACUUUAAAUUAUUGACCACCGUUUUAAAUUAUCUAAUUGUCUUGAUGACUGGUCACCAUUAGGAUGUUUAGACAAGUAAUUGGAUGCAAUUCGAUUGGAAUAACACUGGAGGAUUGAGUAUUGCUUCUUGUGAUUGAUAAUUGUAAUUUCAUCUAAGGCGAAUAUCACGCUCUUAGGGGUUGCAUGGUUUUUCAAAAGGUUUUCAUAGAAUUUAAUGAGUCUUACAUGUUUAUAUUUGAUCUGAAUAUCACAAACGGAUUGCAUGGUAAAUAUAUGUUCUUACUUGAAUAUCACGAGGAUAAUAUAUAUUAGGAAAACCUAACCUUCAAAGUGGCAUGUGUAUAUCAUAAGUAAUUGGUAGAAAUUUGUAGGAUUGCUAGGUGAUGGUGGAACCCUAGUGCCUUUAUAAAUUGGUAUUUAAAACUCUUUUCUUCGAUUAUAUUAGUUUUUGUUUAAAAUUCGUUUUUAAUAUUACCCAAUCUCAAAAUCUCUUUUCUCAAGUUUUAAUUCUAAGUAGUUGAUUAGGAAUUGUUUUUACAUAAAUUGUUUGAAUAGUCCUUGAGGAGAACGACCUUGCAUGAGCAUCUAUACUACGACAUCUUUGUAUUCUUGCAAGUAUUUCACGUGAUUUUGCUCUUAUUUACAUAGGUGGCAAAAUCCCUAUCAUAUAUUACAUGAAUAAUAAUCAGUAGAGUUAAGUUUUCCCUGCAGAUUAAUAUUGGCCCAGUCGUAUCUCAUGUGGUGAGACCACUGGUGAUUAUAAUUAAAAAGCAACACCUAUUUACUUUGUGCUUUGUUUAUUGAUUAUAACAUUCAUUCAACAAUGAGUUGCCCAAUCCAGUGGUGACUUAUAACCAAUGGUACUAGAUGAAUCAAACACCCGUAGGUUACGGACCCUCAUCUCUUUUCUUCCUGCAUUAGUGGGUGUGGAAGAGAAACGCUAGAACCAUGCAACAGAUCCAGCAACACCACUUUGGCCUACAUGCUCAUCUUCUCUUCUCUUUCUCAAGAUCUCUCGCUCUCCUUUUUCUUACUUUUUAACUUUCAUCGACUACAUCGGCAAUUGUGGCUGCUCCAUCCUUCUUGCAAACCCCUGCCAUAUGCUAUAAACUAUGAUGACUGCAUUCAUCGUAGAUUUGCAAAUAUUUUGACACAUUCGACGAAUCAACGUUCUUCCAACAAUCAAAGGCAUAAUGAUCCAAGAGAAGAAAACAAGUCGCUCAUCAAGUACGCUUGGAAAGAAGAUGGAGACUAAAGAGACUGAAGAAAGAGAGCCGGUGAGUAGAGCAAUAUGACCGGACAUUCGAGAGUAGAAUAUGGUAGUGCAGUUACGGCGUGAUUUUAUGUUAGCUGCAAAUGCAAAGCAGUAGACUAACGUUGUCGACAAAAAUAUCCACAUGACUCUUGGGUGCGUGUCGAAUGGGGAGACGUUUGCACCUUGACAUUUCACUUGAAGGACGCCGAUUAGCAGUGGAUUCAGAAAUGCAAAGAUGGCAUGCCAUGGCAUUGAGGAAAUAAACCCUUUCAACCUACAGAAUGAAAUAAAAUAAAACGUCAUGCAAACUAACUCAUCUAAAGAAGUGCAAUUAUGUUAAACAAUAUCUUUUACUCUUCAUGAAGAGUGGGCUUUCAUAACUCUCUGCGAAAUCAAGUGAUGAUCACUUAGUAUAAGCUUUUAGCUAUAAGAAAGAAAGUCUAAAGCUUUGGGAGCUGCUACUUCUUAUCCAAAAAAUCAUCAUAUACUCAUCCAUUACGAAAGGGUAAGGCUAGGGAGACUAAAUUUGUAAACUAAAUGAAGUGUCAACAAUAAGAAAUAAGCAUGUUAAUCAACACUUAACUAAUAAUCCAAUUAUUAACUUCCAUGUCAUUUUGAAGAAUGCAAGAAUAACCUUUGGAGUGGCUAUAAUAGCUACCGAAACUGUAAUUAGGUCUCGUUUGGUAUAAAUGAUUGAAUUAGAAUGGAUAACCAUCUAAGUUCCGAUUAUAUAGAAGGUAGAGGAUACUGAUUUUUCAUUUUCACGGGAUUAGAAGAGAAGCAGACAUGAAUGAAACUUCUCCUUUCUAAUUCUUCCGUUUUAGGGAGGACUGAAAUGGUUCUUCAUAAGUAAUAUCUUCUACCUCCAAGUUAGUCACAAUGUUCUCAAUUCGUCCUUUCAACAUAUAUAAUUUGAAAAUAGCUCUUAGGAAUAUGAUUAUUCAAUAUAAAACCACACCCACAAAAUGUAACUAAUUAAUGUUAAACAUGAACAUCACAUGAUAAGAACUCAUAAUGACCCAAAGAAGGUCGAGCUACUUACACAAGUCGGGCAGAAGUGGAAAAUGGCCAGCCUUCAAUGAUCGAUGCCCUAAUUUAAAGAUAUAUAAAAUAAUACAUAUCGGCGGCCAUGAAAACUUGGUUACAGUUUACUCAAAAUCCGGUCAUCAAACACCUUAAGUAUAACGAUAUCAUUUACGCAAGCGUGCCUUUACCGCUAUUAUUUGAGCGAUCAUGCCAUUACAAGUCAAACCAAAUCUAAUCCACCAUUAUCAGUAAUCUAUCUAUCUCUCUGUCUGUCUAUCUAUCUAUAAUCUACCCUACUCAUACGUGUGUGUGUGUGUAUAUAUAUUCUAUAUAAGUAGAAGUAGAAGUAUUCGUACUGUGGGCAUAUGUUUGUUGCUGAAGGUUGUCUCAUUGUGAUCAAUUGUAAGCAUAAAAAUAUAUAAGCAGAAACGGCAGUAAUAUGAAGAAAGUACAACCUCUUAUUUUUUGUUUUCCUUCUGAGCUUGAUAUGAUUCCAUUUGGAGACUUUAUUGCUGCUGCUGCUAGAUCUCCAAACCGCGAAGUCAGCACGGCGCUCUCUGCUCUCCAUAUGUAAGCAAUUUCUCUGCUCUCCAUAUUUAAAGGAGGAAGGCAGUCUUUCUAUUUAUAACUGCCUAAUUAAUGAAGCAGUUGGUUAGUUCAAAAAUAUAAUUAAAUAUGUCGGUGACUUUUAACUGAUGGAGUACUGACUUGAUGGAUCAGUGGAUAUAUAUCAAUCUGAGAUCAACAAAUUAACAUGGUAGAUAAUUUUUUUUUUGGUGAAAAAAACAAGGUAGAUAGGUAAUAGUGUACUAUUUCUAUAUCGAGUAUUCAUCCCUAGCUAGAUAGAGACAAUUAACAAGCUUGGAAGAAAAGGACUCACGUACAUGUUCUGCAUAAUUUACACCAGAUAAGAACAAAAUUAAUGGAGGGACUGCUGAUAUGUGCGCUCGUGUAAAUAUGCCCAAAGAAAAUAUGGCAUCACCGUUUUGCUUUCAUUCUCUUCAAUCCUGUUCAUUCCAGAUCAAACCCUCUCUCCUUCUAGCUUAGAGUUGUAUUCUAAUCCCAAAUCAAAGCAGCUUUUGCAGUUGCCGCCUUGCUUGUAAUCAAAGUUUAAAUCUUAAUAAUUAAUAACGAAUUCAGAAAGAUGUACUAUACAUUUCAACCACAUAUUCACCAAUUAACAAUUCAGUUGAAGUGUAAUUUUGUGACAUAUAUGUACCAUAAUUUUAGGCUUGUUUUCAAAGCUUGAAUUAACCAAAAUCGAAAAUAUAGUUAGUUCUUAGAAGCAUUAGCUUGUUGUUCAUCCUUAAAUGUCUCCACAUUUUGUCUAUCUUUCCACACACGUAUCGGUGAGUGUACUAGCAAACAUAAUGAACAUUACAUUGAUUUAAUUAUAAGAAUUAUAUUGCUGACAAGUGAAAAUUAAAUGUUGAAGUCUAGGGUUUCAAGCAAAAUCUGUAAACUUUUUGUGUAGUGCAUGCAUGCCUGAUGAUCCAGAGGGAUCGAUGGACACUUCCGAGUUUACUUUUUGUUAAAAUUAAACAGUUUUAGUAUUAAUAUUUGAUGUAGGCUUCUUUAUUACUGCAUCACAAUGUAAUUCCUAGCUAGAACCCUCACAAAAAUUACCAUAAACAUGUAUGUAAUUUUGUGUAAAUUUCGUGUGUAGUUUAAAAAUACAUGAUCAAUCCAGAAAUGCCCUUAGAAACAUCAGUAGUGCACAUAUAUUAUUUGAUACAGCUGUUAAAACACAAAAAAAGAAAAGAAAGGUAAAUGUUAUACAUAUAUAUAUAUAUAUAAACUACUAGUAGUGCACGCGUUCAAGCCUGCAUACUUUUCUUUUUUGGUGGUUAUUGAAUUCUUAAGUAUUAUUUACCUUUUGCACUCAAAUGUACUUUCCGGCCGUAUAAUAAUUGCUAUCUUUCUUCAGAGUAUGAUGGCAAUAGCCUCCUUUGCUGCUGGCUAAGGUUUCUCUGGCACUAAUUUUUUGAUCAGAUAAAUCCCCCACCAGAUAUUCUCCACCAUUUAGAGUUCAAAGCAAAAACCACUGAUGAUUAAAAGCAAAAGCAAGUUGCCUUUUCUUCGUCUAUGUCUAGCACUAUCAGCUUAAUAUAUUGCCAUGCAUAUUUCUUUCUUCGACAACUUUAUAUAUGCGCGAAAGAUAUGGAAUGUCGUUGAAAGAUCCCUUUCCAUUAUUAUUGUGAAAUUGGUUGAAAACGCAAAGAUAAGUACAUGAUAGAAAAUUCCUCAAAAAAGGAUAUUCACGUUCUAAGAAAAGUAUGGCACCUUGCAAUUGCAUUGUAACUCACUUGAAAAGUGCGCUAGUCAAAUCUGAUGAGGGGGUCACCCAGACCUUCAAAUCCGAGGAACUUCAAGUCCCCUUGAUAUAGCUUUUAGUUUUUAUUCUUUAAAAACUGAAAAUAAAAAAUUUGUCUAUUAAUUACUUUUAAUUUUCAUUUUUUUUAAAUGAAAAUUUGAAAACCAAAAGUUAAAAACUAAAAACCGAAAGUCAAAAUUUGAACACUUAAAAAAAAAAAAAGUAGCAUUUAAUAUGUGGUUGUCAAUUUUUAGCUUUUGGUUUUUUUUAUUUAAUUGCAAGUAGCUACCAAAUAGUUUUCAGCAAAUAAGUUGUCGGUUAAAAAAAAAAAAAAAGAGAAAACUGAAUUUAUAGUGCAUAUAUAUAAGAUGGAGAUAUGGAUAGAAUUUUCACCAAGUUCCACAAGAUCAAUACAUUGUUGCUGAAUUACAUGCAUUCUGAGGUUAUUUUUUUUUUCUUUCUUUUGUUUAGCAAAGAAUGAGUUGAAUAUUAAAGUGGAUUCCGGAUCCUCUUUACAAGGAUCAUAGAGAUCCUCACAUUCUAUUCGUUCAUCAUAUAUUGUGCAGCCUAAGAUCAUUUUGAAUUUUUUUAUUUAAAAUUAAACACAAACAGUAUCUAACAAAAGUUGACUAUACAAUAUACGAUGAACGGAUAAGAUGUGAGGAUGAAUCCUCACAAAGAGUCCGAAGAGGAUCCUCAUCCUAUUAAAGUGACUCUUAUACACAUUGUAGAAUAGUAUGUUUACAAAAAGCUAUAUACACAGACCUAACGGAGCAUCCACCUAUAGAAACUCUGAAUCCAAGAACCAGAGUCGCUUUAGGAGGAGAGAAAGGGUAAUGCUAGGGGGAUUAAAUUUGUAGACAAAAUUUUAUUAACUAAAUGAUAUGGAAGUUAAUGAUUGAAUUACUAAAUGUUGAUUAACGUGCUUAAUUUUUAUUGAUGACACGUAAUUUAGUUUGCAAAUUUAGUCUUUAAUCUCCUUAGCAUUAUCCGGAGAAAAAAAAGAGAAAAACUUCUACUUUUCUUCCUUCCCUUCCUCCACUCCCUCUUUUGUGGUGACUAUAUUGAAGUUCCCCGCACUUGUUUUUGUUCAUUUUUCAAUCCCAUCCUUCUUCCAAAGUUAUCCCUUUAUAUUUAUUAAUUCAAUAACUCUAAAUCUAAUGUCGAGCCUAAUCAAGAUUUGCCCAUAGUUUACAAUUGUUUCUUGACUAGAUGUUGGUGGCCUGAUUGCGACGCUCAUGCAUGUGAUGACGGUGAUCCUCAUCUCUCAGAGUUUGGAUUUUGUGGAGUAAAAAAUAAUCAAGAAAAUUAUAGAGGCGACACGUAGACUUUUGGAUUAAAAGAAUAAAAUUACCUUUGAUGCACACCAAGAUUCCCACGCACAUGCAACAAACAAUUACGGCUCAAUCAAUGAAUAGUCAAAGGUGAUCAAAAUGAUAUUUAUUCAAAUCCAUCUCAUCACUCCUCAUCAAAUCCUUAUUCAAAAGGUAACUCCCAAAUUUCCUAUUUAUUUAGGAUUAAUUACCAUGUUAAUUGCAAGAUAUUAUUUAACAUAAUAUCUUACAAUUAUUCACACAAUUUCACCAUAUAUGGCUGGUCACUAUUCUCCAAAUAGGACCGGCCACUCCCCCCCAUAAAUAGCCUUAUUCUCCCACUAAAAUGCUAAGCCAUUUGCUACCCAUAAACUCCUAAACACAUUAUUUUCAUAAUUCUAACUUUGGCAUCGAAGAUUUUUCAGCCAAAGCCCCCCCAAUUCAUCAUGGGCGUGUGAGGCUUUUGGCCUUAAUCUUAGGUGUUAUUAUUUUGCAGAUGCAUUUCGUCAAAGGCAAAGACGGCGGAAAUUUGCAUCCACAAAUUGGUGCUUUCAUUGAGAGUCUUGAUUCACACAUUCGAAGAAGACUCUCGCAUUCAAAAGUUUCUCAUUUCUUGUUCAUUUGUAGAUUUUCAUACGUUCUUAUUCCUAGAAUUUUUUUAUAAAGUUCUUUGAAUAAACGUAAAAGAAGAGUACAAUGACUAGAAAUUCAGAUACCACAACGAACAGAAAUUCCUACGUUCAAGGAUUUAGACCAAGUGAUAAAGAUCGUGACGUAUCCCUAACACGACGAUCCACGAGGCUCAACGCAACGAAGAGUGAAACGGCACCACCCCCACGGGGCACCAUUAUGGUUAUGCCAACGGCAGCAACCAUGGUAGCUCACUGCAAGACCCAAGCCCACGAUGAAAGCAUCACCUUACAGCCGCAAGCCCAGGCCCAUGCCACCUUGUAGUAGCGAGCCUAAGCCUGUGCCAUAAGGAAGCCCAGCACGGCCCAAGCUGCAGCUGCAGCUGCCAAAGCGGCGGUCUAAGAUCCCCAGGCCCAAGUCGCGCCGAAAGGAGCUCAUCCCCUAUGCGGUCCAGCAGCCUAGCCCGCGCCCACGAUCUAACCCAUGUCCGCGACCCAACCCAUUCUCGUAGUCUAACCCGAAGUCCAGCUUACUAUCGUGGCCCUCCUAGCAACCAAAACCGGUCUAAGAUUGGCAACCAUCCUAGCUUUAGUUUCUAGACCGACGAUUGAACCGAGGGUAUUUUCACCUCAUUUCCUCGCAGAUUUGACAUAUCCCAACUCAAAUCUCAUGCUUGGAGCCCAUUACACUUCCAUUACUUAAGGAGACGCAUACCGUCCAAUCUCUUCUAACCCAAAUGGUGAACAACACUGGUUUCGGCAAGUCAUAGAGUUGACAAGCACCCUCGCACAGCCGACGACCUUUGUGAAUCAGCUCUUGUAGCUUACCGAGAUGCAGCGUGCCCCAGACGAGGUGUCCUGAAGUAGGACAAGGGUAGAUGACGAACUUCUCCUACAGUGUCUUGGUAAGUAGCCAUUCAACUAGUCAGGAAUCGAGCGAUCAGACAGUGUACACUCCCGAUUGGGCCCUCGAGAUAGCGUAUACUCUCGUCUUAGCGCGCGAAAGAACGUGCACUCUCGGUUACGCCCACAGACGAGCAUACAUUUAUGGUUGGGACCACACUCUGAUAAUCAACAUGAACAACCUUCCAAGUGAAGUGUUUAUUCGCGGCUAGGCCAGCAAAGAGCAUCUUUCACCUCACAUCGGAAUAGGAAGCACGACGGACGAAGAGAAGCAGUCACUCAAUUCGGCUCAAGUUCAACUGGCAGCCUACGAGGAACUCGUUCUCCUACUAGAAACGUGCCACAUGCAGGAACCAGUAGGUCACGACUGAGGGCAGCCGAUAGCUCUGCUACCCCCAACAAAGGGAAAUUCAGAAAGAAGUAGAAAGGCUCCUGACCGAGUGAUUGCGCAAUUUCCAGUGCAACGAGGUCAUUGAUGAGGCAUUAUAAUGGGACAUGACCAACAUAAGCAAGUCACAUUUCACAGACGAGAUCGAGCAAGAAAAGCCUCCACGCAAGUUUAGUAUGCCAUAUUUAUAUCCUUCAAAUGGGAUUGAGAUAUAGAGAGACGCCUAAAGCACUACCAAAGCAUAAUGAUCCUCUAUCGGAACAACGACGCUCUCAUGUGCAAGAUAUUUGCCACCACUCUACAAGGCGAGGCACAAGAUUGGUUCAACACCUUGCCGCCACAAUCCAUCCAGAGUUUCGAUGAGCUUUCUUUGGAUUUCACCAAGCAGAAGUUCGACCACUUGUUCAAUGUGAAGGAGAACCCAAAGGAUCGCUUCGCAAUUAUGUGAAUAAGUUCAAAGUAGAGAAGGAAAAGAUAGUUGAUAGGAGCAUAUUUAUGCGCCUUAGUUAGUUAGUUCUUAUGCAUUUAUGUUAUGUUUUAUUAGUUAAGUUAGUCUUUUAAGCUAUUUUCAUGUGUUUUCAGGUUUUAAGGACAAAGUAAGCAAAGGGAUGCAAUUUGGAGCAUUUUGGAGCAAAAUUGGGCUAGAAUGAAGUUCAUGCACAUGAAGCACAAAGGAUGGACGAAUUUGAAGGAUUGAUGAAGCUAGGAAGGCGUUUCAAAGUUGAAGAAUUAAAGAUACCAAGUUUCCUAGUUGAAGUAGGAAAGAGCUUACAUGAAGGAUUCCUAAAUGAAGAAGGAUUCCUAAUCAAUGUAGGAGUCCUAAUUGAAGAUGGAUCCCUAGACGAAUGAAGUUUCCUACUCAAGCAAGGUUUCCUAUGUGAAGAAGAAGAGUAAAGUCAAAGAAUCAGCUCAAGAGAAGGAUCUUAUCCAAAACCUCAUCCAUAACCUUAUCUUAGCUUAUCUUAUCCAAACAAACCUUAUUCUAUCUUAUCUUAUCCUAAUCCUAAACUAUCCACAUUCUAGCCACUUAUGAGGGUUUCUAACUAGAUUAGGAUGCUUAAAAUGGGAUUUCUAGAAGACCUAAUCUGAUCCUACAAAGGUGGCGCCUAGGAACCUUUCUAGAAGCCUAAAAAUCUGCCUUGUAUUUCUUUCUAGAACCCUAGCUAUGUGCCGCACCCUAGACCUAUUUCCCUUGGGAUUUUGGUUUUCUAGAAGCCUUAUCUUUUCACACUCUUUGUGCUGCACAUUAUCUCUCAUUCCUUUUGGGUUUUGACUUGUUUUCCUUAUAGGAUUGUAUGUUAUUAUCCUAUGCAGUUUAGGCCUUUAAAACCUUGUCCUUGGCUACCUAGGAGAUGAGAUUUUCAGCCUAUAAAUACAAGCCCUUGCCGCACCCUUUCAUUCACCAUCCUCUACCAUAUUUUCACUACAUCAUUCACCCAAAACCCCUCAUUGUGCCGUGAGUUUUGCAAGGAGAAGAAGGAAGAAAUCUGGAGCCGUGCAUGCCAUUCAAGGAGCUUGGAUUGUUGGAGCGUUUCUAGGUGUUUUCUAUCUUUAUGUCAAUGUUUAAAUUUAUUCAUCUUUGUUUAUUUGCGAACAUGAGGAACUAAUUUCUUUAUAGUUAGAGGGGAAUUCAAA
Molecule: long non-coding RNA, 36320 nt
Filed under: Malus domestica (apple)
Lineage: Eukaryota; Viridiplantae; Streptophyta; Magnoliopsida; Rosales; Rosaceae
Description: long non-coding RNA (MDOM_LNC006766)
Source: RNAcentral